UAUNGCACAAUGGUCGCAAGCCUGAUGCAGCNAUACCGCGUGUAUGAAGAAGGCCUUCGGGUUGUAAAGUACUUUCAGCGGGGGGGAAGGGAGUAAAGCUAAUACCUUUGCUCAUUGACGUUACCCGCAGAAGACGCACCGGCUAACUCCGUGCCAGCAGCCGCGGUAAUACGGAGGGUGCAAGCGUUAAUCGGAAUUACUGGGCGUAAAGCGCACGCAGGCGGUUUGUGAAGUCAGAUGUGAAAUCCCCGGGCUCAACCUGGGAACUGCAUCUGAUACUGGGAAGCUUGAGUCUCGUAGAGGGGGGUAGAAUUCCAGGUGUAGCGGUGAAAUGCGUAGAGAUCUGGAGGAAUACCGGUGGCGAAGGCGGCCCCCUGGACGAAGACUGACGCUCAGGUGCGAAAGCGUGGGGAGCAA
This 417-nucleotide ribosomal RNA is filed under the name uncultured bacterium. RNAcentral's name for it is "bacterial SSU rRNA". It matches the Rfam family "Bacterial small subunit ribosomal RNA", at positions 362 to 771 of the family's 1533-position model. The record is from RNAcentral.